CAUAGCUUCACGCUGAAGCUGUAUGCAUGCCUUUUGUGAAUCGAGUGUCGCCAUUUUGAGUGGACAAUGGGCGCUCGUCACUUUCCUCUGUAUCUGCUCCUGCUGCCAUCACACAUAAUAGCUGACAUAGGAGUAAUGGCGUCCGUCCACGAACAGGCAGAGACUUGCACAUGAGAAGGCCCUUCUUGCCAGAAUACAUUCAUUUGGGCUCAUUUGUCUGGACUAAAACGAGUGAAUGAGAAGAAGGAAAGUGGUCCUCGCACACUACGACACUGGGAUGAAGACAGCAGCCUCACCUUCCUAGAGAACGUGGACUAUGAUGGUUCUGGGCAUCUGGUAAUCUCCAGCCCAGGUCGUUACCGCAUCAGGAGUCACCUGGGCUACAGCAUACCAAGGGUCAGUUCCGGAACCCAGGCUUCCCACCAGGUCGUCAGAUACGACGCUACAUCACAGACGGAGGCCAUCCUGCAGUCAACUACUGUAUCAGCCUCCCCUUGUCACGACUGGUCUUGUGAUGGAUACAGCGAUCUUACAGUCCAUGAGAUACUGAACGCAGGAGACAUGGUGUACAUUAAGGUCUCCAACUCUCACAUUCUUAAUCCUAGGAAAUUUAAUUCGUAUUUUGAAUUAAUUGCACUCUGACGUACCUUUUCAUAUCUUUUAAACGUCAAAUAAAAUGUGUCAUGCCUUA
Molecule: long non-coding RNA, 691 nt
Organism: Haliotis rufescens (red abalone)
Lineage: Eukaryota; Metazoa; Mollusca; Gastropoda; Lepetellida; Haliotidae
Exons: 4
Source: RefSeq, a predicted model, not a curated record